ACGAACGCUGGCGGCGUGCUUAACCCAUGCAAGUCGCACGGGAUUUAGUAGACAGAUGCCUCGGCUAAAGAUUACUAAUGAGAGUGGCGAACGGGUGAGUAACGCGUGAGCAACCUGCCUAUGACAGUGGGAUAGCCUCGGGAAACCGGGAUUAAUACCGCAUAAAAUCGUAGAAACACAUGUUUUAACGGUCAAAGAUUUAUCGGUCAUAGAUGGGCUCGCGUCUGAUUAGCUAGUUGGUGAGAUAACAGCCCACCAAGGCGACGAUCAGUAGCCGGUCUGAGAGGAAUGACGGACACAUUGGAACUGAGACACAGUCCAAACUCCUACGGGAGGCAGCAGUGGGGAAUAUUGCACAAUGGGGGAAACCCUGAUGCAGCGACGCCGCGUGAACGAAGAAGGUAUUCGUAUCGUAAAGUUCUGUCCUAUGGGAAGAUAAUGACAGUACCAAAGAAGAAAGCGCCGGCUAAAUACGUG
RNAcentral lists this ribosomal RNA (477 nucleotides) under uncultured bacterium. RNAcentral's name for it is "partial 16S ribosomal RNA". It matches the Rfam family "Bacterial small subunit ribosomal RNA", at positions 29 to 507 of the family's 1533-position model. The record is from RNAcentral.